AGAGUUUGAUCAUGGCUCAGGAUGAACGCUAGCGGGAGGCCUAACACAUGCAAGUCGAGGGGCAGCAUUGUAGCUUGCUACAGAUGGCGACCGGCGCACGGGUGAGUAACGCGUAUGCAACCUGCCUUAUACUGAGGGAUAGCCCAGAGAAAUUUGGAUUAAUACCUCAUGGUUCCUAUGAGUCGCAUGGCUUUAAGGAUAAAGAAUUUCGGUAUAAGAUGGGCAUGCGUGACAUUAGAUUGUUGGUGAGGUAACGGCUCACCAAGUCGACGAUGUCUAGGGGUUCUGAGAGGAUGAUCCCCCACACUGGUACUGAGACACGGACCAGACUCCUACGGGAGGCAGCAGUGAGGAAUAUUGGUCAAUGGGCGCAAGCCUGAACCAGCCAUCCCGCGUGUAUGAUGACGGCCUUAUGGGUUGUAAAGUACUUUUAUCUACCAAGAAAAGCAGUUACGUGUAAUUGUCUGACGGUAGUAGAUGAAUAAGCACCGGCUAACUCCGUGCCAGCAGCCGCGGUAAUACGGAGGGUGCAAGCGUUAUCCGGAUUCAUUGGGUUUAAAGGGUGCGUAGGCGGGCUUAUAAGUCAGUGGUGAAAUCUUGCGGCUCAACCGUAAAACUGCCAUUGAUACUGUAGGUCUUGAAUACACUGGAGGUAGGCGGAAUAUGUAGUGUAGCGGUGAAAUGCUUAGAUAUUACAUAGAACACCGAUUGCGAAGGCAGCUUACUAUAGUGUUAUUGACGCUGAUGCACGAAAGCGUGGGGAG
Molecule: ribosomal RNA, 764 nt
Filed under: uncultured bacterium
Lineage: Bacteria
Description: bacterial SSU rRNA
Rfam family: Bacterial small subunit ribosomal RNA
Source: RNAcentral